Alosa alosa (allis shad) is the source of this 1418-nucleotide long non-coding RNA. RefSeq lists it as uncharacterized. The record is from RefSeq and is a predicted model, not a curated record. The transcript is spliced from 3 exons. Lineage: Eukaryota; Metazoa; Chordata; Actinopteri; Clupeiformes; Clupeidae.
AGCAUGGAUAAUGUCUGAAAAAAAGAUAAACAUAUAUUUAUAACAUAUUUGUAGGUGGCGAGUUGUUGUGCAUGGUGGCAUCGAUGGAUUCUCCCGGCUGAUCGUAUUCCUGACAGCAGCAACAAACAACAGAGCUCAGACUGUCCUUCAGAGUUUCCUUACUGCAGUGGAUCAGCAUAGUAUUCCCUCAAGAGUCCGUUCAGACAAAGGAGGGGAGAACACUUAAGUGGCACGUUUCAUGGUGACAAGUAAUGGACCCAAUAGAAACUCUCACAUUUCUGGAAAAAGUGUCCACAAUCAAAGAAUUGAACGGCUGUGGCGGGAUGUAUUUGAAAAAGUACUCAAUCUCUUCUAUACCACUUUUUAUCGUCUGGAAGAAAUGGGAUUGCUUAAUCCUGGACACAGACCUGUAUGCUUUACAUAGGUGUUGCAUGCCGCAUAUCCAGUCACAUCUGCACCAGUUCCAGAAAGCUUGGAACAACAACCCUUUGAGAAUGGAAAGAAACAAAUCUCCUCUACAACUGUGGCCGGUGGUGAAGGCAGAGUCGACUGGAGCGAACCACAGAGACCUAUGACAACUGGAGUUUAUGUUCCUGAAUUGGAGCUGCCCCGUCCUUUGACGACAACGGAACAAGCAACACUACCAAACUACGGUGGCCGAGAAGGGCCAUAACACAUGCAACUUAUGAAAACACAUGCAACUUAUGAAAACACAUGCAAAUCAACAAAACACAUGCAAAUCAACAAAACACGUGCAAAUAAACAAAACACCAACAACUUAAGAAAACAUCUUCAUCUUGACGUGCACAUCAUUUAGAAAACGCGCUGCAAAUUCAGACAACAUUUACAUUUCAGAAACGAGCUGCAAACUGCACUCACAACACAACGGAAGUGUUUCUGGGGGACACUUAAAAGUGAUGAACAACUCUGAACGGGUGUGACCGCAACAGCUGGCUCUAAAUGAUCGGAAAUGUAUUUGGGUUUAUUUUAACAUUUUAAUGGCACUUAAAAAUAAUGAACACCUCUCCUUUACUGUCUGUACGUAUGUAUGUAUGUAUGUAGGUUUACACUACACUGAUGAUAAUGAGCCUACUAUGAAACUCUAGGGAUUGUUUUCAUGCUAACUGUUAAUUGUUAGUAGCGUAGUUUUGCUAUCUUGCUAGAAUGCCCUGAACAUAUGUAAUUGUAAUAGUGAGAAACUGUUUCAGCAAAUCUACCUUUUAUUUAUUUGUGCAUUUAUUUGUUACUACUUGUUUAUUGAUUGUGAAUAGUGUUGAUUAAUAUUUGACACAUUGACCGUUCCGGUUACCAUAACAACCGGAAUGUUUACUGCCUCCUCAGUUGAUGUUUAUGCUGAGUGAGGCAGGUAUGUAUAGCGACUAAGCUCUGAACAUUAUGAUAAUAAUUGAUAAAUACUA